UACCGAGUUGCGGGCCCUUCGGGGUCCAAUCCUCCCAUCCGUGUCUAUUCAUACCCUGUUGCUUCGGCGCGGCCCCCGUGCCCGCCGGAGACACCAACGAACGCUGUCUGAAGGUUGCAGUCUGAGUUUUUCUAGCGAAAGCAAAAUCGUUAAAACUUUCAACAACGGAUCUCUUGGUUCCGGCAUCGAUGAAGAACGCAGCGAAAUGCGAUAAUUAAUGUGAAUUGCAGAAUUCAGUGAAUCAUCGAGUCUUUGAACGCACAUUGCGCCCCCUGGUAUUCCGGGGGGCAUGCCUGUCCGAGCGUCAUUGCUGCCCUCAAGCACGGCUUGUGUGUUGGGUCGCCGUCCCCCGGGACGGGCCCGAAAGGCAGCGGCGGCACCGUGUCUGGUCCUCGAGCGUAUGGGGCUUCGUCUUCCGCUCCCGUAGGCCCAGCCGGCUGUCCAGCCUCGCAACCCCAAUCU
Molecule: unclassified non-coding RNA, 462 nt
Filed under: Aspergillus leucocarpus
Lineage: Eukaryota; Fungi; Ascomycota; Eurotiomycetes; Eurotiales; Aspergillaceae
Description: sequence contains ITS1, 5.8S rRNA gene and ITS2
Rfam family: 5.8S ribosomal RNA (bases 154-307)
Source: RNAcentral